AAUACCCGCUGAACUUAAGCAUAUCAAAUGGGGGAGGAAAGU
RNAcentral lists this ribosomal RNA (42 nucleotides) under Verticillium dahliae. RNAcentral's name for it is "partial 28S ribosomal RNA". The record is from RNAcentral. Lineage: Eukaryota; Fungi; Ascomycota; Sordariomycetes; Glomerellales; Plectosphaerellaceae.